This 330-nucleotide ribosomal RNA is filed under the name uncultured bacterium. RNAcentral's name for it is "bacterial SSU rRNA". It matches the Rfam family "Bacterial small subunit ribosomal RNA", at positions 28 to 385 of the family's 1533-position model. The record is from RNAcentral.
AACGAACGCUGGCGGCAUGCCUAACACAUGCAAGUCGAGCGCCCGUAGCAAUACGGGAGCGGCGCACGGGUGAGUAGCGCGUGGGAACCUGCCCAGAGGUUCGGGACAACCGCGGGAAACUGCGGCUGAUACCGGAUGAUGCCUGAGGGCCAAAGAUUUAUCGCCUUUGGAGGGGCCCGCGUCGGAUUAGGUAGUUGGUGAGGUAACGGCUCACCAAGCCUGUGAUCCGAGCUGGUCUGAGAGGAUGAUCAGCCACACUGGGACUGAGACACGGCCCAGACUCCUACGGGAGGCAGCAGUGGGGAGUAUUGGACAAUGGGGGCAACCCUG